Vidua chalybeata is the source of this 657-nucleotide long non-coding RNA. RefSeq lists it as uncharacterized. The record is from RefSeq and is a predicted model, not a curated record. NCBI's taxonomy places the organism in Eukaryota, Metazoa, Chordata, Aves, Passeriformes, Viduidae. The transcript is spliced from 3 exons.
GCGCUCGCCUUGGCCCAGGCACAAACGGGAGCUUUCCUUUCCUCCUGUUCAGAAGGCACCACUAAGGAGGUGUUUGGCCAUGGAAACCGGAAUGGCUUCGGACUCAGUAAGAAGGACUCACUGUUUGCAGGCUCAGUGUUAUUUCCCACAGCACACUGCUGCUUUUAAAUCACACACAAAGACCUGGGAAGGAAAGAGGAGGAGAGAGGGGUGAAUAACUGCAUUGGAUUUUCUAACUACAAAUUCUUUCUACUGUUCUUAGCCUAUUCUUUGUUGUAUUGCUUGUAUAUUGCUGCAACAGUCUUCAAGUAUUUCAUUAAGUAUUGGACAGUAAGUCAUGAAAUCCGGUUACUUUUUCAUCUCCUCUCAGUCUCGUGGGCUUUAGUGACUCUCGGUGCCUUGUUGCUCUCAGGCAGUGGAGGGGUUGCAUUUUCCUGGGAGGUGUUUCCUGGGCCCUUUGGGAGUCCACCUCCUGUUAGAUGUCUAAAAUGCACAGAGCAAGUAGCCUUCAGGAAUUUCAGACUGUAGAUUAUUUUCUGGCAGAGAGGUUCUAUCCCUUCCCUGUCCUUGUGUUUGAGUGGGUGUCCCUUGGAAAGUUUGGCAUUGAUGUGUAAGAUCCUGGCAAUGAUUUGUACAUAUUUACUGAAUAGAAAAAAU